CGUUCCCACGAUUUCGUCCUUUUCUACUACUUCCCUACAUUUGAGUUUAGUUGUUGAUGCCCCUCUAUGGUUCUCUUUGUUUUUCCCCCAUGAUUUCGUCCGUUUCGUGUUCCACCGAUUGUUGGCUACGUUGGGAAACUUUGGGGAUUUUCUUGAAUUGCUAGGUUGGAUUUUCUUGAAUUGAUACGUUGGUUUCUCUCACCUCUCAAUGGAAAAUUUCCAGGUUUGAUUUCUAAAUCUAAAUUUCUCUACAGAUUUCUACACAUAUUUCAAUAGUCCAUUGAAUUUGUAAGGUUUUAGGUAAAUACAACGCUAUCUCUGAGGUUAAUUUAUUUUUUCCCCUUUCGACUAGGUAUGUGAUGCUUUAAUUUCUUGGGUUUGUUAGCUUAUGGUUUACGUUUUUCUUAUGAUGAUCUACUGUUCUCUUAUGAUGAAUUCAUCUGUAUUUUCCGUGGACGGACAAUCCUGUAUGAAACGCAACAGUAUCUCAGUCCCCGUGUGAGUCUCGAUUUCUCUCACAUGAUCAAAUUUUCGUUUCUCCUAAAAAACUACAUUUUCGUUUUUUUUCUGUUAUGUAGUAGGAAACACAGCGGUAUCUCAAUCACCAUGUGAGUGUUGAUAUCUCUCGCAUAAUCAAAUUAUCAUUUCCCCUAACAAAUUAAAUUUUUGUUUGUUUAAUUGUACCUUUUUUCCUCCUCUUCAUAGGUGAAGAGGGUUUUCCUUCACAUUCAAGAUUGGAAUUUGACCAUGCGAAAUUGAGAGCAGAAUCUCUCCACUCGUUCCUGGGACAGCUAUACCAUGAAACACUUAGUUCUCAUUGUGUUGUAUAAUUUUUUUUAGAUAUUAUUCUAAAUUCACUUUUUUUUGUCAAACUCAUUUAACAACACAAAACUGUGUAGCCAGUUAAAUAUAAACUUGAGAGCUACACACACUCUCUCCCAGUCUCCCAUACACAUAGUAUGACACUUAAAGAGCCAUUUGGAAACAAACAAUAACUUGGACUGCAUUUUUUGUAUGAGUUAAUCACACGGACUAAAAGAGUGAAUUUGGAGACUCAUAUCAAAGUAUGUAGCCAAUGAUUCAUUUGAAGACUGAAUAUAACGCAAUCAACCUGAUAAAAAAAAUGAACAAUUGGUAAAAUGUUUAAAUUGAACAAUUGGUAAAACGGAGUGUAAACAAUGUAUUUAAUAAUUAACUCUUUGUUCUAUGUCAAUAAUAAUUACCUCUUUGUUCUCUUUUCAAAAGAGUAUUGCAAGUGCCACUAACUUUGUUUGUGCAGUAUCACCUUCUCUGCUAAACUUUAUUAUGUUGGUUCUUCUUCAGUCUUUGUUGGUUAUUGUGAAUAAAUUGCAUGUUAAUUUCAAGGGUUCCCUUUGCCCCGUUUCUUAUUUCCAAUGAGGUUCCUUAUUUGAUGGAACUUUUCAGGUCAAUGUUAUUAAUGGAAUGCGCCAGAUACACCACAAACUUCUUAUAUGCAAGUUACUAAGAAGGCUAGGCAUAAUGAUAUGUUUAUGAAAAACCAGAGAGAGAGGUGUGAUUGAUAUUUGAUUGUUUGUUGAACUCAUUGUCCUUACUGGGGGUACUCUGUUUUUGUUAUGUUUAGUUGGGUUGUCUUUGUUUGUUUUCUUGAAAUAUCAGGUAUGGGAGUUUCUUCAAGUUCCAUAUAUUGUUGUCUCCUACUAUGGUUUCAACGGAUCCAGAUCUCAAUAGAUACAUUUUAAUGAAGGAACCAAAAGGUCUUGGUCCCUGGGUACCCAAAAUGCAUGCUUGAUAGUUUGGAAAAAUGCAACAUUGCAGCAAGCCAGCAACUCAUGGCUCCACUCACAAGUCACGAGUACAUGAGAGUGGCAUUGUUUGCACUCACUAGCCCCACUAUGAUCAGAUACCACGUUUUUCAUAAAAAUUGACGACUUCAUGAGAUCGCACCUCAGUAGUUGGGAUAGCAAAAUCAUUAACAUUCAAGAUAAAACCAAAUAGGUUUGUGACACACCUUUUGAUUCCCCUUUUUCAAUGUUUUAAGUUGUACUGAUAUGUUCUCUCAUUGGUUUUAUGCUGAUGGCUUAACUAAUCAUUGAAGCAGCUUGGUGUCAUUGGAUCCAUGCCAAUCUCUUGAAUGAGUAGAAGAUACGUAGUUGAAUUUAGAUUUUAUGGUUUUUCUUUAUUUUUGUUGUUGAUUGUUAGGGAGGUUCGCGAAUGCUAAAGUCAAGGCUUCCAUGGUUGCGGCGAAGGUAAUCAGAAAGCUUUGCUGUGAACUUCUGGGUUUAAAGGAUGCAGUGGAAGAUCUAUAUGAAUUCUGAAAAUAUGCAAACAAAAUAUUUGGUUUUCUUGAAGUGAGAGGGAGCAUGCAUGAAUCUAUAAAUACGAGUGGUAAUUAUAUUAUUACCGUUGGCAUUGUGCAUUUUUGGUUUCUGUUUGAGGCAUUCAGACAUGAUGAUGAAUCAAAGAGAUUCAUCUACUAUAUCGUGGUGCUAUUCGAAGAAAUUCGUCAGGGGUCAAUGGGAUACAGAGGAAUGCAUUUCUAAGUGAAAAGUGUACAAGUCUUGCCCCUAUCUAGAGAAUAAUUGAAGGCAAAGUGCAAAAAGGACCUUACAGCGAUUACGGCUACGUAAAAGAGCAUUGUCUUGAUUUGCUUUGUGAGGACUGUUCUCUUAUGUUCUAAGCAAAAAUUGCUUGAAUGCAUUGUUGUAUACAGAGUAUGUUGCAAAAGUUACAUACAUGUGAUGGUUCCAUUAGGUUCCUAUGCAUAAUCCAUAAAUCAUUCCUUUAAGGUAAUCUAUCAAUGAAACUUUAAAGGAAAAUAAAAAUUCAAAAUGCUUUUGAACUGGGCUGAAUUAUGAUUUUUGUUAUUUGUAUACAUAAUGACUCGACUAAAACUGUUGUUAUUCAAUGGCCUUUGUAUAUGUGUCUAUCUGAACUCAUAUACCAGUCACUGGUCUACAUGAUGUUUAAAUUUUGAUGUCUCAGUCAGGGCAAUGCUUAUGUGUUCUACUUGAAGGGAAUUGCGUCAAAAAAACAGGGAAAUCGACCAAGAGUAAUACAUGUUUGUUGGUAGUUAUUUUGUAGAAUCUAGGAGGUUUCUUUAGUUCGUUCCUUACGUUUAAUUGAGAUUGGAGUAGUUUUCUUCGUUCCUUAUGUUUAAUUGAGAUUGGAGUAAUUUUCUUUUUUAAA
This is a long non-coding RNA of Tripterygium wilfordii, 3168 nucleotides long. RefSeq lists it as uncharacterized. The transcript has 5 exons. NCBI's taxonomy places the organism in Eukaryota, Viridiplantae, Streptophyta, Magnoliopsida, Celastrales, Celastraceae. The record is from RefSeq and is a predicted model, not a curated record.